CAAAUACUCCCUCCGUCCGGAAAUACUUGUCAUCAAAAUGGAUAAAAGGAAAUGUAUCUAGACGUAUUUUAGUUUUAGAUACAUCUCUUUUUAUCCAUUUUGAUGACAAG
This is a non-coding RNA of Triticum aestivum (bread wheat), 110 nucleotides long. Lineage: Eukaryota; Viridiplantae; Streptophyta; Magnoliopsida; Poales; Poaceae. The record is from Rfam.